This 674-nucleotide ribosomal RNA is filed under the name uncultured Dechloromonas sp. Its description in RNAcentral is "bacterial SSU rRNA". It matches the Rfam family "Bacterial small subunit ribosomal RNA", at positions 94 to 764 of the family's 1533-position model. The record is from RNAcentral. Lineage: Bacteria; Pseudomonadati; Pseudomonadota; Betaproteobacteria; Rhodocyclales; Azonexaceae.
AGUGGCGAACGGGUGAGUAAUGUAUCGGAACGUACCUUUCAGUGGGGGAUAACGUAGCGAAAGUUACGCUAAUACCGCAUAUUCUGUGAGCAGGAAAGCAGGGGAUCGAAAGACCUUGCGCUGAUUGAGCGGCCGAUAUCAGAUUAGCUAGUUGGUGGGGUAAAGGCCUACCAAGGCGACGAUCUGUAGCGGGUCUGAGAGGAUGAUCCGCCACACUGGAACUGAGACACGGUCCAGACUCCUACGGGAGGCAGCAGUGGGGAAUUUUGGACAAUGGGGGCAACCCUGAUCCAGCCAUGCCGCGUGAGUGAAGAAGGCCUUCGGGUUGUAAAGCUCUUUCGGCCGGGAAGAAAUCGCAUAGGCUAAUACCCUGUGUGGAUGACGGUACCGGAAUAAGAAGCACCGGCUAACUACGUGCCAGCAGCCGCGGUAAUACGUAGGGUGCGAGCGUUAAUCGGAAUUACUGGGCGUAAAGCGUGCGCAGGCGGUUUCGUAAGACAGAGGUGAAAUCCCCGGGCUCAACCUGGGAACUGCCUUUGUGACUGCGAGGCUAGAGUACGGCAGAGGGGGGGUGGAAUUCCACGUGUAGCAGUGAAAUGCGUAGAGAUGUGGAGGAACACCGAUGGCGAAGCAGCCCCCUGGGCCGAUACUGACGCUCAUGCACGAAAGCGUGG